UGGGGAAUCUUCCGCAAUGGGCGCAAGCCUGACGGAGCAACGCCGCGUGAGUGAAGAAGGUCUUCGGAUCGUAAAGCUCUGUUGAUGGGGACGAACGUGCCUAAUGCGAAUAGUAUUAGGUAAUGACGGUACCCAUCGAGGAAGCCACGGCUAACUACGUGCCAGCAGCCGCGGUAAUACGUAGGUGGCGAGCGUUGUCCGGAAUCAUUGGGCGUAAAGGGAGCGCAGGCGGGCAUGGAAGUCUUUCUUAAAAGUGCGGGGCUCAACCCCGUGAUUGGAAAGAAACUAUGUGUCUUGAGUACAGGAGAGGAAAGCGGAAGUCCCAGUGUAGCGGUGAAAUGCGUAUAUAUUGGGAGGAACACCAGUGGCGAAGGCGGCGUUCUGGACUGCAACUGACGCUGAGGCUCGAAAGCCAGGGGAGCGAACGGG
This 429-nucleotide ribosomal RNA is filed under the name bacterium. Its description in RNAcentral is "partial 16S ribosomal RNA". It matches the Rfam family "Bacterial small subunit ribosomal RNA", at positions 355 to 776 of the family's 1533-position model. The record is from RNAcentral.